RNAcentral lists this ribosomal RNA (700 nucleotides) under Actinomycetes bacterium. RNAcentral describes it as "bacterial SSU rRNA". It matches the Rfam family "Bacterial small subunit ribosomal RNA", at positions 59 to 771 of the family's 1533-position model. Lineage: Bacteria; Bacillati; Actinomycetota; Actinomycetes. The record is from RNAcentral.
CAGUCGAACGAUGAUGCCCAGCUUGCUGGGUGGAUUAGUGGCGAACGGGUGAGUAACACGUGAGUAACCUGCCCCUGACUCUGGGAUAAGCGUUGGAAACGACGUCUAAUACUGGAUAUGAUCACUGGCCGCAUGGUCUGGUGGUGGAAAGAUUUUUUGGUUGGGGAUGGACUCGCGGCCUAUCAGCUUGUUGGUGAGGUAAUGGCUCACCAAGGCGACGACGGGUAGCCGGCCUGAGAGGGUGACCGGCCACACUGGGACUGAGACACGGCCCAGACUCCUACGGGAGGCAGCAGUGGGGAAUAUUGCACAAUGGGCGAAAGCCUGAUGCAGCAACGCCGCGUGAGGGAUGACGGCCUUCGGGUUGUAAACCUCUUUUAGUAGGGAAGAAGCGAGAGUGACGGUACCUGCAGAAAAAGCACCGGCUAACUACGUGCCAGCAGCCGCGGUAAUACGUAGGGUGCAAGCGUUGUCCGGAAUUAUUGGGCGUAAAGAGCUCGUAGGCGGUUUGUCGCGUCUGCUGUGAAAUCCCGAGGCUCAACCUCGGGCUUGCAGUGGGUACGGGCAGACUAGAGUGCGGUAGGGGAGAUUGGAAUUCCUGGUGUAGCGGUGGAAUGCGCAGAUAUCAGGAGGAACACCGAUGGCGAAGGCAGAUCUCUGGGCCGUAACUGACGCUGAGGAGCGAAAGCAUGGGGAGCGA